GGGAUGUAGAUCAGUGGUAGAGCACCUGCCUAGCAUGCAUGAAGCCCAGGGUUCAAUCCCCAGCAGUGCCA
This 71-nucleotide transfer RNA is filed under the name Marmota monax (woodchuck). RNAcentral describes it as "tRNA.Ala". It matches the Rfam family "tRNA". Rfam says of the family: Transfer RNA (tRNA) molecules are approximately 80 nucleotides in length. Lineage: Eukaryota; Metazoa; Chordata; Mammalia; Rodentia; Sciuridae. The record is from RNAcentral.